Molecule: non-coding RNA, 1556 nt
Organism: Pelobates cultripes (western spadefoot toad)
Lineage: Eukaryota; Metazoa; Chordata; Amphibia; Anura; Pelobatidae
Source: the annotation of a GenBank genome assembly
GGGAAUUAAUCUAGAAGUCCAUCAAUGAAAAUAGAUAUUACUUUAAAGUGACACUAUAGUCAUCAGAACAACUACAGCUUAAUGUAGUUCGUGUGUGCGCGUGUUUUUAUGUCCUUAAAUGAUUUUAAAUGUAAACACUGCUUUUUUAGAGAGAAGAGUGUUUACAUUGCUGCCUAGUAACACCUCUAGUGGCAGUCACUCAGACAGAAAUUAGAGGUGCUUCCUCCGUUAGCGCUGGACACUGCAGCACUGACCUUCAGCGUCUCGACUUUUUGCAUGCUGAUUGGUGCAGCGUAUUAGCCUCCCAAUGCUUUUAUAAAGCAUUGGAUCGGCUGAGAUUGUGUAAUGUGACGAUCUCAGUUAAGGCAUCUGAGCCUGUGCUAGCUGACCCUCACAGCACCGAAAUAAAGAUACGUUUUUAACCCUUUUUAAGGUUGAAUUGGGCACUUAAAAUGUGUUUUUAACACUAUAGGGUCAGGAAUACAUGUUUGUAUUCCUGACCAUGUAGUGUUCCUUUUAAAAAAAAAAAAGAAAAACAAAAAACAUUACCCGAUCUCUUGCAAAACAUGUUUACAAAAUUAAAAUGCAGAAACUGUGGAGCUCUACAGCGUUCUAAGUCUACAUAUUGGCUUCUUUGCAGAUCUAUGUUAAGGUUUAGCAGAGCUAUGUUUUUUCUUUAACCCCUUAAGGACACAUGACAUGUGUGACAUGUCAUGAUUCCCUUUUAUUCCAGAAGUUUGGUCCUUAAGGGGUUAAACGAAAGUGUGCUGCUGGCCUGAAGAUAUUAGUUGCUUUGACCUGAAUGGCAUUGGCUUAGCAGGUCCAGUAAACCCUGCUAAACAUGAGCGAAGUGUUAAGUUCCAAAUAAGCAUUUUUUUUUUUUCCCAGGAAGAAUGCCAAGAGCCUUUUCAAGGCACAUCCAUGUGAGCUGGGGCUGCAGAAAUAGUAAUUUUAACUUAAAUAGCAGAGGAUUGAGAAGUGAAACUGCAGGGUUAUUCUCUCCCCGCCAAAACCAUUUCAUUAUGUUAAAAUGGUUUUGUUGCUUAGACUGUUGAUUUAACUAUUUAAACCUGUUGUACCUCAAGUUCAGUGUUAUCACAGUAUGUCAGAGGCAUGUAUUCAUUAAAGGGACACUAUAGUAACCAGAACCACUACAGCUUAUUGAAUUUGUUCUUGUCAGGCUUUUUGCCAUAAACACUGUCUUUUCAGAGAAAAAACAGUGUUUACAUUACAACCUAGUGAUAACUUCACUGGCCACUCCUCAGAUGGCUGUUACAGAUCCUUCCUGGGUCAUGGCUGCCUAAAAUGCAUUCAAAAAUUCCGUAUCUGCCUCUUUGUCAGUUUCAGCCAAUCCUAUGGGAAAGCACUGUGAUUGGAUCAGGCUACCACUUCUGAUGCUAUCAGCAGACUGCUUGUUUUUCUGAGUCAAACAGCAUGCAGAGUUACAGCUUCAAGCUUGAAUACAGGGGGGCUGUGAUAGUGCUAGAUAGUGUUUUAACACUAUAGGGCCAGGAAUACAUGUUUGUGUUCCUGACCCUAUAGUGAUCCUUUAAGGC